RNAcentral lists this ribosomal RNA (443 nucleotides) under Mucilaginibacter sp. RNAcentral's name for it is "bacterial SSU rRNA". It matches the Rfam family "Bacterial small subunit ribosomal RNA", at positions 27 to 467 of the family's 1533-position model. Lineage: Bacteria; Pseudomonadati; Bacteroidota; Sphingobacteriia; Sphingobacteriales; Sphingobacteriaceae. The record is from RNAcentral.
GGAUGAACGCUAGCGGCAGGCCUAAUACAUGCAAGUCGGACGGGAUAGAAGAGCUUGCUUUUCUUGAGAGUGGCGCACGGGUGCGUAACACGUAUGUAACCUACCUUUAUCAGGGGGAUAGCCUCUCGAAAGAGAGAUUAACACCGCAUAAAAUGAUCGGAUAGCAUUAUUUGAUCAUCAAAUAUUUAUAGGAUAAAGAUGGGCAUGCGGGACAUUAGCUAGUUGGCGGGGUAACGGCCCACCAAGGCGACGAUGUCUAGGGGAUCUGAGAGGAUGACCCCCCACACUGGUACUGAGACACGGACCAGACUCCUACGGGAGGCAGCAGUAAGGAAUAUUGGUCAAUGGGCGCAAGCCUGAACCAGCCAUGCCGCGUGCAGGAAGACGGCCCUACGGGUUGUAAACUGCUUUUGUACCGGAAUAAACCUUUGUUCGUGAACAGA